RNAcentral lists this ribosomal RNA (497 nucleotides) under uncultured bacterium. Its description in RNAcentral is "partial 16S ribosomal RNA". It matches the Rfam family "Bacterial small subunit ribosomal RNA", at positions 28 to 507 of the family's 1533-position model. The record is from RNAcentral.
GAUGAACGCUGGCGGCGUGCCUAAUACAUGCAAGUCGAACGCAUAGCGAAAGGUGCUUGCACCUUUCAAGUGAGUGGCGAACGGGUGAGUAACACGUGGACAACCUGCCUCAAGGCUGGGGAUAACAUUUGGAAACAGAUGCUAAUACCGAAUAAAACUUAGUGUCGCAUGACACAAAGUUAAAAGGCGCUUCGGCGUCACCUAGAGAUGGAUCCGCGGUGCAUUAGUUAGUUGGUGGGGUAAAGGCCUACCAAGACAAUGAUGCAUAGCCGAGUUGAGAGACUGAUCGGCCACAUUGGGACUGAGACACGGCCCACACUCCUACGGGAGGCUGCAGUAGGGAAUCUUCCACAAUGGGCGAAAGCCUGAUGGAGCAACGCCGCGUGUGUGAUGAAGGCUUUCGGGUCGUAAAGCACUGUUGUAUGGGAAGAACAGCUAGAAUAGGAAAUGAUUUUAGUUUGACGGUACCAUACCAGAAAGGGACGGCUAAAUACGUG